Orcinus orca (killer whale) is the source of this 2331-nucleotide long non-coding RNA. RefSeq lists it as uncharacterized. The record is from RefSeq and is a predicted model, not a curated record. The transcript is spliced from 3 exons. Lineage: Eukaryota; Metazoa; Chordata; Mammalia; Artiodactyla; Delphinidae.
GCCCGCUGAUCCCAGGCACCACAGACACGUCCAGGUAGCCGGGCAUCGCCUGGUAGGAGCUGGCGAAGCUGGGAUAGAAGGCGAACUCCUUGGCCCUGGAGGACAGGUCGUCACCCGGCAGGGCGCCCGACGGCUCGGGUCUCCAGACUUGUCGGGCUUCCUGUGCUCAGUUUGGUGCCUAAGUAGAGGCACCCCUUUCCAGAGAGCAUCUCCGUGGGAUUGAGCCAAGUUCCCUUUCAGCACAGGGCCUCCCUGAGGAGGAGAGGUAAUAAGGAGAGAGAGAAAAAAGGGGAGAGGGGCUACAGCAUCUCCCUCUUUCCUGCCUCUGCCAAAGAUUUUAGAUGCUGGGUGCUCCUGUCCAGACCGCGGCCAGGAAAUAGCCUCGGGCUAAGCCGAACCCGCUGGAUCCCUUCAACUUGAGAGCAAAUGGCCAGGUCUGUACUGAGAUCUGGCCCACGGGCUGCCUCCCUUCUACCGGUAGGGGCAAAGUGGUGUUGGACGAUGGAGAGCGCCCUGGCGUGGGUGACUUAGGAUAAGAGACGCAAUCUUUAUCAGGGUGCUCUUCAUUCGGAAGGGUCACCUCAGAGUUCCAGAAAGCAGGCUUUGGGCUGGGCUGGCAGUAGGAGGAAAAAUAUAUCAGGAAGCUUGGAACAUGAGCAGGCUAGCUUGAGUGUGUGUUGAGGGCGAUGAUGGUGGAUGGAGGAGAGAGGAGUGGAGAGGAAGGUGGGUCUUGCUGGGAGCCGGCUCUUGGCUAGGAAACUGGCUUCUCUGCCUCCGGAGUCCCAAGGUCAAGGUAAAAGGAGGAAAGCAAACAUGGCCUGGCUAGUCUAGACUGGGUCGUGUGACCUUGGCCCCCCGCGUCUGCCUGCGGCCUGCCUGGUGGGGGUAGGUGGGUGGAGAGGUCUGCCGUUUUUUCCCUCCGCAGGUGUAGGGGUGGUGCGGAGGCCCUAGCUUCCCCUCCUGUGCAGUGCGGGGUCCGGUUCCGCGUGGAGAACCCAGGGCGACGUGGACCGGGCUGAGUGGGGCAGCCGGGCGAAACAAAGGGCCUGAAAUGGCCACCCCGUUCCUGGGGCUCCCUCCCGGGUCCAGGAAUGGUCUAGCUCAACGCCAGAUGCGUCUUCACGGGCCAGAACCCAAAGACGGGUCCCCCAGCCUUUGGGAGUAAGGGGCAGAACAGCAGAAAGGCUCUGGGUGCAGGCGGCCCAGCAAUAAAUAAAAUCAAUAGGGCUUUAUGCGGCCAAAAUUUAGCGACGAGCGGAAAGAGAGGGAAAAGUUCCCUUCGUCAAGGAGCCCAGCCGAAGAAGAUGUAGGCCCCCCAGAGACCUGAGAGAGUGGGAGGCGAAAGUUCAGGACUCAGGGCGUUGAAAGCGCCAGAGAAGGGUCCGCAUGCUCUGAACGAUUUCCCACUCUUUCGCUGGGUUCCCCAAGACCUUCCGCGCCUGAAACUGCUGACUCCAAGACUGGGGCGCACCCGGAGCAGGGAGGGAGGCGACGAGGCGAGAGCCUGCGGCGCCGGGCGCCUCAAAGUAGAGCCUUGUUGGUUAAUUAACUUUAAGCCUGGGGUCGCUUCUUUCUCCUCCCCCGAAAAAAAAGAUGUGGAUCUCGCUGAGACACAAAUAAAACCAAAUUAAACACUCCAGGAGAAUAUGCACUACUGGAAACAUAGUAAUUACAUCGCCGAAGCGAUGAGGCGAUCCCGCCCUAGAAAGCCAGGCGCUGAAACCCUCGGCUUCGGCGCUCACCCCCCACCGCUGAGCCACACCUCGCCCCGCCGGGGGCUUCGCGGGUGGGCCGAUGGAGCUGGACUGCGGACCUGGUUGAGAGGAAAUCGGGAGGAAUGAAUAGGAAUGUGACCCUUCGGUCUCUAGCUGUGAUGAUGUUGGUGUGUGCGGGAAAGGACGGAGCAUUUCAUCACACCAAAGGAAAAUGGAAAACGGCCCCUCUAGCCCCGUCGAGAAGCCCCGGGCUGCGCUCUCCGCUCUUUUUUCAAAGGGACAUUUGUGAUGGCGAGGCCACGGGAGCCGCUCUGCCCUCAGCUUCCUCUAUGGACUGAGUUCCCCGCUAAGUUCAACUCUGAAAUUCUUGUUUUCAAAGACUCCAAUAUAUAAAGGAGAUAUUCAAUGUGCCGUCUCACUGGAAGUGUGUGUGUGUUUGCACGGUAUACGUGUGCACACGCCCGGCCUGUGGGUCUGUGAUUGUGGGCAGGCUCCAUGCACUGUUCCAGCACAUGCCCUUGUGGAUACGGCCCAAGUGUAUUCAUGAAAAUACCCAGCCCUCGCCGAAAUCCUCUCUAUGCAAAUAAAGAUCUCUGCUGGUCUGUUUAUUUCUCUG